UAGGAUUUGGGAAAAUUCAGAAGUAAGGAAUUCAUUACACUUGCCCGAAAAGUUAGAAACCACAGGUAGGCCAAGAAAAAUAAGACAAUACAAAAACUUCCCCUUCCAGUGACAUUUUGACAUACCUCCUCCCCAGUUCUCGCACACAGAUCUAAAAAUAUUUGUGAUCCUGACAAUAUAACAAACACUCCAUUACUACGCUAGGCAUUCCACCAAGCAAUGCAAAUGGACUGUUAUAUUUGAUUCAUGCAAAAAAAAAAAAAAUUCAUGCUCCCAUGUUCCCAUUUCACAGAAGAAGAAAAAAGGCUCAGAGUGGACUAGUGAUGUGGCUGUUCCUCUGUCCCAAAAGCUGUAAGCAACGGAGCUGGGGUUCAGACCCAGGCACUCUGAUUCCAGUGCAAGAGGCAACACAACCACUUAGGACACACACAGUAAGGAUAAAUUCUGAGCCAUCUGUUGAAGAAGCUUCAUCUAUCACAGCUAUUAUGCCAACUGGAACUGGUGUUCUACUUCUCAGUCUGGGUAAGCAUGGAUGCUUUUAUAAGAAAAACCACAGAAGCUAUUUUUAAUGAAAAAAGGCAACAUUUGCAGUAAUCAUCUUCACAAUUUCCCAAAGGUAAUGAAUAUAUUUCUGAACAGAUGACCAAGAGAACAAAUCAAUAUGGCACAAAGGAAGAAUGUACUCUCUCUCAAGAUUGUGUAUACAGUAUUCUCUUGCUCUCUCUCAAAAAAAAAAAAAAAAUGAUACACACACAUGUGGCUGCACUUUUAUUAAAUGAAGCAAAAAAAAAGACUGGUACGUUAGAGAGUCAGCUGGGACUUCACUGUUGCAUUGUUAAAAUAUACAGACUCCUUCUUUACUGGGCAGUCAUGGAAACAGACAAGUUUUUAAUGUAUUUUAAGCAAUUUUAUAUAAGACAAGCAUGAAGCGUAACAAUGCCAUAACCCACUGGCUUCUGCAUUCAUUGUUUAAAAAACAAGACUGUAACAUUCCAGCUAAAAAAAAUGUGCUAAUCAUAGAGAAGACAGCCAGAGCCCUGGGGCUGGAUGGAAAAGUGAAGGUAUGCGCUAUGGAGGGGAGUUCAUGUGUUUCAUGCGUUCACAACAAAACCAAAGCAUCAUAAUGUUCCUUAAACUGAGCUCCUGAGAUACACCUCAAUUCCAAAUUGCUGCCUUCACACAAAAACAACUUUGUAAGAGAAGGUGCUUCUCUGGGACCGGGUUUCUUCAAAUGGGGACAGAUUCCUGCCACUCACCUCCCCCUACUCGAGGUCAUGAAGAUUAAUGAUAAUGAUGUUUUUUACAGACUGUGAAGAAUUCCUUUGAGAAGAAUUAUGCGAGAUCCAUUAGGGCGCUAAAUUCCAAGGACAACUCCAUGGCUGUUGAGGAUGUUUUCAAGGACAAGCGGUAGAUAAAAAAAAAAAUACUAACAACGAAGUCAGAUGCAGUUCUACUGUGUUCUAUUGUCUUUCCUUCCACUUAAUCAUAUCGUAGAACAGGCAAUAAUUAUCUGUUAGGCGACAGCAAAGGAAGGCCCAGUGGACAAGCAAUGCUGAUGUGCUGAAGAGGCCAUGACUUAGCAGAGGAGUUAAUCAUACUUUCCUUUAAUAAACAGCUUCGAGCUCCCCCCACACCCUGCCCACUCACUGCUUUUCUGUGUUUUGUUUAUUUCUUUCCAUCAAGACAAAUGAGCAGCUUGGAAAUCUGCUUGGGUCUAAAAGAUUCCUACCCAGAGUAGCAAGGGUAGUGGUUCAUGAUUUCCUUCUGCUGUUUCAGCCUGCCUGGCAUGCAUUUCCCAUUGCUGGUAUCAGCAAGUAGGAUUUGUUUUGGGGGGAAGCAAACCUCCCUUUCAGACCAUGAGGUUUGUGGAGGAGCUGGAUCCACCCCACCCUGACGUCCAGGGGUGGGCACACUCCUACUCAGGAGACAUAUUUCAUUCCGUGGCCACAGUCUAUUGAUGGACAAGUGGCCCAAGGUGGUCCACUGAGAGCCCUGAGACUCUGGCUGGCACAUCUAAGGUACUCUAUCCACUGGGGUUAAGUUAGGAGGAUGGAAGCCAGGAGCAGCUGAGUAAGCCACAGAAGGAAGUCAACCCAGAGAAAGGAGAGCUGAGUGAUGAAGGAGAGGACAAUUCUUGACAACAUUCUGAAGACCCUGGAUCUAGCCAUGCUUACACUACCCCUAGAUUCUUCAGACACAUGAACCAAUAAACCCUCCUUUUUGCUUAAAAUAGUAUGAACUGGGUUUUGCUGCGUGUGACUGAAAGGAUCCUUAGUAAUGCCCAGACUGUCUCUCAUUCUUUUACUUCAAAAGACUUAGUAAGUACGCAGCCUGGGGAACUGAUGCAAAGUCUGGGUUGACCAAAAAAUUAUUUCCACAGAUAGACUGCAUUUUAUCACCAGUCUUCCUGGGAUGAAUUCAUUAUCACCAAAUUUUAAAAUUGCCAUGUGCAAUUUUAUA
Long non-coding RNA from Canis lupus familiaris (dog), 2460 nucleotides. RefSeq lists it as uncharacterized. The transcript is spliced from 3 exons. The record is from RefSeq and is a predicted model, not a curated record. Lineage: Eukaryota; Metazoa; Chordata; Mammalia; Carnivora; Canidae.